AUUGAACGCUGGCGGCAGGCUUAACACAUGCAAGCCGAGCGGGGGAAGGUAGCUUGCUACCGGACCUAGCGGCGGACGGGUGAGUAAUGCUUAGGAAUCUGCCUAUUAGUGGGGGACAACAUCUCGAAAGGGAUGCUAAUACCGCAUACGUCCUACGGGAGAAAGCAGGGGAUCUUCGGACCUUGCGCUAAUAGAUGAGCCUAAGUCGGAUUAGCUAGUUGGUGGGAUAAAGGCCUACCAAGGCGACGAUCUGUAGCGGGUCUGAGAGGAUGCUCCGCCACACUGGGACUGAGGCACGGCCCAGACUCCUACGGGAGGCAGCAGUGGGGAAUAUUGGACAAUGGGGGGAACCCUGAUCCAGCCAUGCCGCGUGUGUGAAGAAGGCCUUAUGGUUGUAAAGCACUUUAAGCGAGGAGGAGGCUACUCUAGUUAAUACCUAGGGAUAGUGGACGUUACUCGCAGAAUAAGCACCGGCUAACUCUGUGCCAGCCGCCGCGGUAA
RNAcentral lists this ribosomal RNA (501 nucleotides) under uncultured bacterium. Its description in RNAcentral is "partial 16S ribosomal RNA". It matches the Rfam family "Bacterial small subunit ribosomal RNA", at positions 30 to 523 of the family's 1533-position model. The record is from RNAcentral.